UACGUAGGGUGCGAGCGUUAAUCGGAAUUACUGGGCGUAAAGCGUGCGCAGGCGGUUCGUUGUGUCGGCGGUGAAAGCCCCGGGCUUAACCUGGGAACGGCCGUUGAAACUGGCGAACUGGAGUGUGGCAGAGGGGGGUGGAAUUCCGCGUGUAGCAGUGAAAUGCGUAGAGAUGCGGAGGAACACCGAUGGCGAAGGCAGCCCCCUGGGCUAACACUGACGCUCAGGCACGAAAGCGUGGGGAGCGAACAGG
This 253-nucleotide ribosomal RNA is filed under the name uncultured bacterium. Its description in RNAcentral is "partial 16S ribosomal RNA". It matches the Rfam family "Bacterial small subunit ribosomal RNA", at positions 524 to 776 of the family's 1533-position model. The record is from RNAcentral.